Molecule: ribosomal RNA, 406 nt
Filed under: uncultured bacterium
Lineage: Bacteria
Description: partial 16S ribosomal RNA
Rfam family: Bacterial small subunit ribosomal RNA
Source: RNAcentral
AUUGAACGCUGGCGGCAGGCCUCACACAUGCAAGUCGAACGAGUGGCGGACGGGUGAGUAAUGUCUGGGAAACUGCCCGAUGGAGGGGGAUAACUACUGGAAACGGUAGCUAAUACCGCAUACCAUCGGAUGUGCCCAGAUGGGAUUAGCUAGUAGGUGGGGUACCUGCGCACCUAUGCGACGCUCCCUAGCUGGUCUGAGAGGAUGACCAGCGACACUGUAACUGAGACACGGUCCAGACUCAUACGGGAGGCAGCAGUGGUGAAUAUUGCACAAUGGUCGCAAGCCUGAUGCAGCCAUGCCGCGUGUAUGAAUAAGGCCUUCGGGUUGUAAAGUACUGUCAGCGAGGAGGCGUUACCCGCAGAAGAAGCACCGGCUAACUCCGUGCCAGCAGCCGCGGUAAUAC